CGGGACAAAGCUUUGUGAGAGUUUGGAAGUCUCCUCUUAUAUUUGAUGGCUAUCACUUUCUUCCGGGCUCUGAUGAAAUUGAAAUGUACCUUGCCACUAUUUCAAGGGCUUCUCUCUCUUUGGAAAUUAAGGUAUUUGGUUGUCCUCUGAAGUCAUCUCUCCAACGUGCUCAAGAUAAGUAGUUAUAAGGGUCCUUAAAAGUGGAAGCUGGAGAUAGAAGAGUCAGUGUCAGAGUGAGGCAACAUGAAAAAGAUUUGACUGGCUAUCGCUGGCAUUGAAGAGGGAAGGUGGACACCUGCCAAGGAAUGCAGGCAUCCUCUAGAAGCUGGAAAAGGCCAUGUGAAGACAGAGCAAGAAGGCAGCCAUCUGCAAGCCAGGAAGAGAGCUCUCAAAUCACCUGAUCUUGGAUUUCAUAGCCUCCAGAACGGACGUCAAGAUCUGUUAUUCAUUUUCCUGAUGCUAAGUAUAAUUCUGAUAUGGAUAUUAAUUCUGCUAUUAUUUUUCCUGUUUGAUUUUUCAUGAUCAAACACCCACCUCAUCAUCUAGACAUAAAAACAAAUCUCCACGUAUAUCCAGUAGGAUACCGAAAAAGAAAAGACAGUCAAAUGGGGCAGAAAAAUGCUUGCUGUAAUCAUA
This 636-nucleotide long non-coding RNA is filed under the name Equus caballus (horse). Its description in RNAcentral is "lncRNA (ENSECAG00000057459.1)". The record is from RNAcentral. Lineage: Eukaryota; Metazoa; Chordata; Mammalia; Perissodactyla; Equidae.